UACGAAGGGAGCUAGCGUUGUUCGGAAUCACUAGGCGUAAAGCGCACGUAGGCGGAUGUGUCAGUCAGGGGUGAAAUCCCGGAGCUCAACUUCGGAACUGCCCUUGAUACAGCACGUCUUGAGUCCGGAAGAGGUGGGUGGAAUUCCUAGUGUAGAGGUGAAAUUCGUAGAUAUUAGGAAGAACACCGGUGGCGAAGGCGGCCCACUGGUCCGGUACUGACGCUGAGGUGCGAAAGCGUGGGGAGCAAACAGG
Molecule: ribosomal RNA, 253 nt
Filed under: uncultured bacterium
Lineage: Bacteria
Description: partial 16S ribosomal RNA
Rfam family: Bacterial small subunit ribosomal RNA
Source: RNAcentral